This 246-nucleotide ribosomal RNA is filed under the name uncultured bacterium. RNAcentral describes it as "partial 16S ribosomal RNA". It matches the Rfam family "Bacterial small subunit ribosomal RNA", at positions 523 to 769 of the family's 1533-position model. The record is from RNAcentral.
AUACGAAGGGGGCUAGCGUUGUUCGGAAUUACUGGGCGUAAAGCGCACGUAGGCGGAUAUUUAAGUCAGGGUGAAAUCCCGCAGCUCAACUGCGGAACUGCCUUUGAUACUGGGUAUCUCGAGUAUGGAAGAGGUGAGUGGAAUUCCGAGUGUAGAGGUGAAAUUCGUAGAUAUUCGGAGGAACACCAGUGGCGAAGGCGGCUCACUGGUCCAUUACUGACGCUGAGGUGCGAAAGCGUGGGGAGC